Molecule: unclassified non-coding RNA, 400 nt
Filed under: soil metagenome
Description: partial contains 5.8S ribosomal RNA, internal transcribed spacer 2, and large subunit ribosomal RNA
Rfam family: 5.8S ribosomal RNA (bases 1-121)
Source: RNAcentral
GAUGAAGAACGCAGCGAAAUGCGAUAAGUAAUGUGAAUUGCAGAAUUCAGUGAAUCAUCGAAUCUUUGAACGCACCUUGCGCCCUUUGGCCAUUCCGAAGGGCAUGCCUGUUUGAGUAUCAUGAACACCUCAACUCUCAUGGCUCGCCAUGAUGAGCUUGGAUUUGGGGGUCUUGCUGGCCUGUGGUCGGCUCCUCUCAAAUGGAUCAGCUUGCCAGUGUUUGGUGGCAUCACAGGUGUGAUAACUAUCUGCGCUUGUGGUUUUCCAUCAGAUAACCUUCAGUGAUGGAGGUUCGCUGGAGCUCAUAAACGUCUCCCCUAAGCGGGGACAGCCCUUUGAAUGUUUGAUCUCAAAUCAGGUAGGACUACCCGCUGAACUUAAGCAUAUCAAUAAGCGGAGA